UUCUUGGAUUUAUUGAAGACUAACUACUGCGAAAGCAUUUGCCAAGGAUGUUUUCACCCNUUUAAGAACGAAAGUUAGGGGAUCGAAGACGAUCAGAUACCNCUCNNUAGUCUUAACCAUAAACUAUGCCGACUAGGGAUCGGAUGAUGUUAAUUUUUUAAUGACUCA
RNAcentral lists this ribosomal RNA (168 nucleotides) under uncultured Glomeromycotina. Its description in RNAcentral is "partial 18S ribosomal RNA". It matches the Rfam family "Eukaryotic small subunit ribosomal RNA", at positions 917 to 1078 of the family's 1831-position model. The record is from RNAcentral. Lineage: Eukaryota; Fungi; Glomeromycota.